GUUCUUGUUCGAUUUUGAGACUGUCUUGAUUUCAACAUAGAAACAAAUGCGGUAUGUCUGAUUUAUUUUGCUAACUUUCAUCCCAGACAAAGUAAAGUUGCCAAAGAUGAAUUAAACAGUGCCAAAGAUAAUGGGUCUUUGCUUUCUUGCAGCAACACCAUGUUAUAAUGGAAUAACUGCAUUGUUUGUACACUAGAACUACCAAGUUUUUUUUAUUACUUUGUUGAAAUGAAACCCAUGUACCUAUAGGACCCUGACUUUUCAUAAAUCUGUGUGUUUUAUUCUAAACUUGUUGUUUCAUUAAAUUAAAAUAUGAAUUGGAUAUAUAUCCUCUUGAGACCUGGUAAUUCAUUUUUGUACACUGUAGUGCAUGUUCAGGUUUUGCACAUAACUCUAAUAGUGUACAUACCACAUACCAAGUCCGGAUGUUCCUUAGAGUGAACAACUGUAGCUUUAAAUUGAUACCCCAUGUGUGGGGGUGUGGCCUUGCCAACUUCCCUUCUCCUGUCUUUUCAAAAUGGCUGGCAUCAGCACUGGCACAUUUUAUGGAAGAAAGAAAUGUUCUUGCCUGUGUUAGAAGAGCACAGAAUUGCAGAAGAUGGUCCCCCUGUAACCCGUAGUAAUUGGAGCCCACAGCAGUAUUUCCAGCAGUACAUUGACAAUGAACUAAUUCAGGACCUGUCCUUCAUCAACCAACGUAUGGUACAGGAUUCAGGCUUAAGCACAACACCAGAAGAAAUCAAGACCUUUUUAGGAAUCUCGAAAAUAUGGUGCGAUCCACUUGCCUGAAAUGGUUGCCAGUCCAAAUCCUUCCAGAUGCAGAAUGCCUGGGUGCACUAGUAGAACCUAUGUGAGAUGUGUUAAAUGUGACAUGUUCCUAUGUGUCUCCAAAAAGUCACAGUGCUUCCUCACAUAUCACAAAUGAAUUGGUAUUUGUGAACUGGCAAACCAAAUGUUCAUCAUAGGGCUAUGGCCAGUGAAAAGUUGAAUGAGUUGUAUGUGUAUUUGACCCUGACUGAGUUGUAUCCUAUGUUUUUGUGAAGUUUUUAUGCAGUUUGUGUGUGUUGUGUUGAUAUCCAGGCAGAUUUUUAAUUCUGUUGAUGUUUUAGGGUCGGGAUGAAUUAAGUCCCGUUGUACACUACAGUUCACAUUAUAAAACAUUAAUGAAAUUAUGAAAAAAUCUAAAAUCUUUGCAAUGUGUUUUUUUACCACCCCAACACAUCCUUUAUAUAAAAAAAAUCUAAACACCUUUCCCCCCCCCCAGGUCUCAGGAGGAUAUAGGUGGUGCAUUGUGGGAUUGUUGACGGUGAUGUACGCUGUCUGCUGUUACCUAACUGCCAACAUUUUUCGAAUUUACUCUUGUUGAGAUAAAUGAAGUUUAAAUAAUGCUGAUUUAAUAACCAUGUAUUCUUAUGUUUUUGUUUUAUUAAAUUGUAUGCUGCAGCCAGGUUAGGGAAAUAUGAAUACACAGAUUGAAUACAAUAACCAUAAAAAGUUUAGAACUCCAUACAUUACACUCAGACUUUACACCUGGCUGAGAUAGAGAGACAGGAUUAAAACCCCACAAUUAACAUACAAAUGAAACUGCCUCCUAUACAGCACAAAGAGACCUUCUGUCUCCAGCCCCCUGAUGUUCUAGUCUAGGUUAGGACAAUAAAAUGUAAAUUACUGUAACCUGGUUAAGAUUUCACACCUGUAUGCAAAUAACCUGUUGAUCUAUGACUGAGAGUAAGAGCAUGCUCUUCUUCAUGGUACAGCGAAAACAAAGAGAUUCGUCCAACAUGUCACCAUGCCAACAAAGAACCAAUAAGGAAGGGUUUUACUCACGAGAGUGAAAAGUAACCGCCCCUGUGGCGGGAGUAUUAAAAACAAUGUUCGAUCUUGAUUCGGGGCGAAUAUUUUGUGGAAGCUCGAGGGUUGAGCAAAAUAUUUGACCGCUGC
This is a long non-coding RNA of Esox lucius (northern pike), 1941 nucleotides long. The record is from Ensembl. NCBI's taxonomy places the organism in Eukaryota, Metazoa, Chordata, Actinopteri, Esociformes, Esocidae.